This 25-nucleotide non-coding RNA is filed under the name Mus musculus (house mouse). The record is from RNAcentral. Lineage: Eukaryota; Metazoa; Chordata; Mammalia; Rodentia; Muridae.
CUGAGUUUGAGGCCAGCCGGGUCUA